CCUCUAGUGACAGUGAUGGAAAAAAUUUAACAUUCGAAGAAUUACGAAUAAAGUUACUUCGACAAUAAUUUAUUGGUCGAAAUAUAAUAAUAAUUGCAAAUAAUUGUAUUUUUUCAAUGGCCAACUCUGCCCUGCGACGAAUCAUCAUGGAAGUAGAGAUCUUAACCACCAGUGAUUGGACAAAAUUUAACAAUCGAAGUUACGAUUAAAGUUACUUUGAUAAUUUAUUGUUCAAAACGUAAAAAUAGUUGCAAAUAAUUGUAAUAGCCUGAAAAGUGGAUCGAUCGUAAUAGUUACAAAUAAAAAUAUUUUUAAUAAAUAAUUACUUAAAAUAACUUUA
Long non-coding RNA from Apis mellifera (honey bee), 340 nucleotides. RefSeq lists it as uncharacterized. Lineage: Eukaryota; Metazoa; Arthropoda; Insecta; Hymenoptera; Apidae. The record is from RefSeq and is a predicted model, not a curated record. The transcript has 2 exons.